Molecule: ribosomal RNA, 496 nt
Filed under: marine sediment bacterium ISA-3219
Lineage: Bacteria
Description: bacterial SSU rRNA
Rfam family: Bacterial small subunit ribosomal RNA
Source: RNAcentral
GGCAGGCCUAACACAUGCAAGUCGAGCGGUAACAGAAAGUAGCUUGCUACUUUGCUGACGAGCGGCGGACGGGUGAGUAAUGCCUAGGGAUCUGCCCAGUCGAGGGGGAUAACAGUUGGAAACGACUGCUAAUACCGCAUACGCCCUACGGGGGAAAGGAGGGGACCUUCGGGCCUUUCGCGAUUGGAUGAACCUAGGUGGGAUUAGCUAGUUGGUGAGGUAAUGGCUCACCAAGGCGACGAUCCCUAGCUGUUCUGAGAGGAUGAUCAGCCACACUGGGACUGAGACACGGCCCAGACUCCUACGGGAGGCAGCAGUGGGGAAUAUUGCACAAUGGGGGAAACCCUGAUGCAGCCAUGCCGCGUGUGUGAAGAAGGCCUUCGGGUUGUAAAGCACUUUCAGUUGUGAGGAAAGGGUGUUGCUUAAUACGCAACAUCUGUGACGUUAGCAACAGAAGAAGGACCGGCUAACUCCGUGCCAGCAGCCGCGGUAAUAC